AGCAGUGAGGAAUAUUGGUCAAUAGCCUAACUGGCUGAACCAGCAACUUGGAGGAAUGUAUAGGGAAAACUGGUAAAAUGUGAUGUACCUAAUAGUAUUAGUGAUUAAUAUGAAAUUAACUUAGUUAAUUAAAAUUCAGAGUAGAUAUGUGAUUAUGACAAUAUUUGCUUAUUUCUUGACCAAGUCACGUGCCAGCAGUCGCGGUAAUACGUGGUAGAUCAGUGUUAUUCAUCUUUAACAGGUUUAAAGGGUACCUAGACGGUUAAUUAAGCAUAUUUGUGUACUAAUUAUUAACUAGAGUUUAAUGUAAGAAGGAUUGAGUACGGUGAGUGUAGAGAUAAAAUUCUGUCAUACCACUUAGGAACUGGUAAGGCGAAGGCAACCUUUUAUGUAAAAACUGACGUUAAGGGACGAAGGCUCGUAUUAAGUAAUAGGAUUAGAGACCCUAGUAUUGUGGGCAGACAAUGAUGAGUGUCAUAUGCAAGAAAAAUUUUGUGUAUAAAUGAAAGUGUAAGCACUCCACCUCAAGAGUAACGUGGCAACAUGGGAACUGAAAUCAUUAGACCGUUUCUGAAACUCGUAGUGAAGUAUGUUGUUUAAUUUGAUAAUCCGCAAAUAACCUUACCACAAUUUGAAUUACUGGUAAAAUUAAAACUAGUAACAAGCGUUGCACGGCUGUCUUCAGUCAAUGUUGUGAAACUUUGGUUAGAUCCAUUAAAUUGACGUAAACCCUUGCUUUAUUUGUUAUAAAGCAGUUCGCCGCUAUAUUGGUAGUGAUAUAAGGACUAAGACA
This 793-nucleotide ribosomal RNA is filed under the name Leiorreuma sericeum. RNAcentral's name for it is "mitochondrial SSU rRNA". It matches the Rfam family "Bacterial small subunit ribosomal RNA", at positions 350 to 1187 of the family's 1533-position model. The record is from RNAcentral. Lineage: Eukaryota; Fungi; Ascomycota; Lecanoromycetes; Ostropales; Graphidaceae.